CGUGUAGGCGGUCAAGUAAGUGGAAUGUGAAAGCCCCCGGCUUACCCGGGGAUCUGCAUCCCAAACUGCUUGGCUUGAGUACGGGAGAGGAUGGAGGAAUUCCUGGUGUAGCGGUGAAAUGCGUAGAUAUCAGGAGGAACACCGGUGGCGAAGGCGUCUAUCUGGCCCGAUACUGACGCUGAGGCGCGAAAGCUAGGGGAGCGAACG
Molecule: ribosomal RNA, 207 nt
Filed under: uncultured bacterium
Lineage: Bacteria
Description: partial 16S ribosomal RNA
Rfam family: Bacterial small subunit ribosomal RNA
Source: RNAcentral